RNAcentral lists this long non-coding RNA (376 nucleotides) under Lonchura striata (white-rumped munia). Its description in RNAcentral is "domestica (Bengalese finch) lncRNA (ENSLSDG00000001380.1)". The record is from RNAcentral. Lineage: Eukaryota; Metazoa; Chordata; Aves; Passeriformes; Estrildidae.
CAUCCUCCUGCUUCAUCCUCAUCCUCCUGCUUCAUCCUCAUCAUCAUCAUCAUCCUGCUUCAUCCUCAUCCUCAUCCUCCUGCUUCAUCCUCAUCCUCCUGCUUCAUCCUCAUCAUCAUCCUGCUUCAUCCUCAUCCUCAUCCUCCUGCUUCAUCCCCUCCUCCUGCUUCAUCCCACAUCCUCAUCCUCCUGCUUCAGCCCCAUGUUCAUCCUCCCGCUUCAUCCCCAUCCUUGUGCUUCAUCCCCAUCCUCCUGCUUUAUCCCCAUCCUUCUGCUUCAUCCUCAUCCUCGUGCUUCAUCCCACAUUCUCAUCCUCCUGCUUCAUCCCCAUCCUUGUGCUUCAUCCUCAUCUGCCUGCUUCAGCUCCAUCCUCAUC